UACGUAGGGUGCAAGCGUUGUCCGGAAUUAUUGGGCGUAAAGAGCUCGUAGGCGGUUUGUCGCGUCGGCUGUGAAGACCUGGGGCUCAACCCCGGGCCUGCAGCCGAUACGGGCAAACUAGAAUUCGGUAGGGGAGACUGGAAUUCCCGGUGUAGCGGUGAAAUGCGCAGAUAUCGGGAGGAACACCGGUGGCGAAGGCGGUUCUCUGGGCCUUACCUGACGCUGAGGAGCGAAAGCGUGGGGAGCGAACAGG
This 253-nucleotide ribosomal RNA is filed under the name uncultured bacterium. Its description in RNAcentral is "partial 16S ribosomal RNA". It matches the Rfam family "Bacterial small subunit ribosomal RNA", at positions 524 to 776 of the family's 1533-position model. The record is from RNAcentral.